RNAcentral lists this ribosomal RNA (320 nucleotides) under uncultured Prevotella sp. RNAcentral describes it as "partial 16S ribosomal RNA". The record is from RNAcentral. Lineage: Bacteria; Pseudomonadati; Bacteroidota; Bacteroidia; Bacteroidales; Prevotellaceae.
GGAGUUUGGACCGUGUCUCAGUUCCAAUGUGGGGGACCUUCCUCUCAGAACCCCUACUGAUCGUUGACUAGGUGGGCCGUUACCCCGCCUACUAUCUAAUCAGACGCAUCCCCAUCCCUUAGCGAUGAAUCUUUGGUUUGAUCUUGAUGUCAGCAUCAAACAACAUAGGGAAUUAAUCCGACUUUCGCCGGGCUAUCCUCUACUAAGGGGAAGGUUGGAUACGCGUUACUCACCCGUGCGCCGGUCGUCAGCAAGAAAAGCAAGCUUUCCUCCUGUUACCCCUCGACUUGCAUGUGUUAAGCCUGUAGCUAGCGUUCAUC